This 1461-nucleotide ribosomal RNA is filed under the name uncultured prokaryote. RNAcentral's name for it is "partial 16S ribosomal RNA". It matches the Rfam family "Bacterial small subunit ribosomal RNA". The record is from RNAcentral.
AGAGUUUGAUCAUGGCUCAGGAUGAACGCUGGCGGCGUGCUUAAUACAUGCAAGUCGAACGGGAACCUCUGGAUUCGUCUGGAGGGGAGAGUGGCGAACUGGUGAGUAACACGUAGGCGACCUGCCCCGAAGACGGGGAUAACUGCUGGAAACGGCAGCUAAUACCCGAUGUGCUCGGUAAUUCAUUUUGCCGAGUAAAGCUCCGGCGCUUCGGGAUGGGCCUGCGGCCUAUCAGCUAGUUGGUAGGGUAACGGCCUACCAAGGCGAAGACGGGUAGGGGGCGUGAGAGCGCGGUCCCCCACACUGGCACUGAGACACGGGCCAGACUCCUACGGGAGGCAGCAGUCGGGGAUAUUGCACAAUCAGCGAAAGCUGGAUGCAGCGACGCCGCGUGGGCGAUGAAGGUCUUCGGAUCGUAAACCGCUUUUCUGAGGGAAGAGAAAGGACGGUACCUCAGGAAUAAGUCUCGGCUAACUACGUGCCAGCAGCCGCGGUAAAACGUAGGAGGCAAGCGUUAUCCGGAUUUACUGGGCGUAAAGAGCGUUGAGGCGGCCGUGUAAGUUGGACGUGAAAGCUCCCGGCUUAACUCGGGGGGGUCGUUCAAUACUGCCAGACUAGAGGACGGUAGAGGAAGGUGGAAUUACCGGUGUAGUGGUGAAAUGCGUAGAUACCGGUAGGAACACCAGUGGCGAAGGCGGCCCCCUGGGCUGUUCCUGACGCUGAAUGCGAAAGCUAGGGGAGCAAACGGGAUUAGAAACCCCGGUAGUCCUAGCCGUAAACGAUGGAUACUAGGUGUAGGGGGCGAAAAAUCCUUCUGUGCCGAAGCUAACGCGUUAAGUAUCCCGCCUGGGGAGUACGGCCGCAAGGCUAAAACUCAAAGGAAUUGACGGGGACCCGCACAAGCAGCGGAGCGUGUGGUUUAAUUCGAUGCUACGCGAAGAACCUUACCAGGUCUUGACAUGCAGGUGGUAGUGAAGUGAAAGCGGAACGACCCUUCGGGGAGCCUAUACAGGUGCUGCAUGGCUGUCGUCAGCUCGUGCCGUGAGGUGUCCGGUUAAGUCCGGUAACGAGCGCAACCCUCGCUGUAUGUUAUACGUGUCAUACGGGACUGCCGGUAUAAAGCCGGAGGAAGGUGGGGACGACGUCAAGUCAGCAUGGCCUUUAUAUCCAGGGCUACACACACGCUACAAUGGUCGGUACAAUAGGUUGCAAAACCGCGAGGUGGAGCCAAUCCUCUAAAGCCGGCCUCAGUUCGGAUUGCAGGCUGCAACUCGCCUACAUGAAGCCGGAGUUGCUAGUAACCGCAGGUCAGCUAUACUGCGGUGAAUACGUUCCCGGGCCUUGUACACACCGCCCGUCACGUCAUGGGAGUCGGCAAUACCUGAAGUCGGUGUGCUAACCGGCAAGGGAGGUAGCCGUCGAAGGUGGGGCUGGUAACUGGGACGAAGUCGUAACAAGGUA